UGGAGCAGAAUGUGAUCCGGUCUUGCCCGAGGUCUCUCGGGGAAUCCUCCCAAUCACUUUAUUUAUUUAGAACUAUCAACGGCAUCAGCAGACUAUAUGUAAUGUGUGUGCUCUGGAGCUUCACUUAUGAACUAAACCUGCACAACAUGAGCCUUCUCCUUGCCUUGGAGCUGCUGCUCUUUCUGCUAGCCUUGCCACGCCUUACUUCUUCCUCAAAGUCCACGCAUUCGUCACUGGAUCGGCAGGCUGAGGCACUUCUCCAAUGGAAAUCUAGCCUAUACAAUUGGGACUAUGAUCUGGGCUCUUGGAGAAAGGAAACGAGCCCCUGUAGCUGGAUGGGCGUUGACUGCAGCAACACUGUGCCUCAUGGCCGUGACCAGGGUGAUGCUGCCCUAGUUGUGUCCAACAUUUUGCUUGCACACUGUGGCCUUCAAGGCAGGCUAGACAGCCUCCACUUUGCAGAUUUGUCCCAUCUUGUCUAUCUGAACCUUAGCACCAACUCUCUCUCGGGCCCAAUCCCAUCAAGCAUCGGUGCUCUUGCCAAGCUCACUCACUUGGAUCUAUCCAACAAUGGCCUGAAUGGAUCCAUUCCAACAUUCCUAGACUUACCCAAUCUUGUCUAUUUGGAUCUCAGUGGCAACGCUCUCUCGGGCCCAAUCCCAGCAUCGAUAGGUGAUUGUUCUAAACUAACUUUUCUCGAUCUGUCGUACAAUGUUUUGUCCAAAGGAUCCAUUGGAAGCAUAGGAAAUCUGGCGAGUUUGCAAUACCUAUAUCUUUCUAAAAAUCAAAUAAAUGGUUCCAUCCCUUCAACCUUCUCGAAAUUGGUCUCUCUAGAAGAGCUGGCACUUCAUUCCAACCAGCUAGAUGGCCAAUUACCACUAGAAUUAGGAUCUCUUGUUGUUCUCUCACAUCUGGAUCUAAGGAGGAAUCAAUUUGUAGGAAAUAUUCCACCUCAGAUAGGACAGUGUAGCUCUUUGUCAUAUUUAUCCAUACCAGACAACUUAUUGACAGGAGAAAUACCACAACAACUCGGGGAUCUUGCUAACCUUAUUGAGCUGGAUUUGAGUAGAAACAAUUUAAGUGGUGCCAUCCCAGCGACUUUUUCUAAUCUUCACAGACUGUCUACACUGAAUUUGUCAUAUAACAGUUUGGCUGGCAAAGUUCCUUCUAUCGAUGCAUCUUCUGUCUCACUUGACGGUAAUAUGGAUUUAUGCGGCGAUUGGUAUGACAUACCUCUAUGUGAAACACACCAAAGAAGAAUACAUCCAAGUAUGGUAUUUCUUGCUUUUGCUCCCUUCCCCCUCGCCUGCCUCACAAUAGCAAGCAUUAUGGUCGUUUCUUGGAGAAGAAAACAAGAAAAUGCUACUAUCAAAAGAAAGUCUGGAGAUAUGCUUUCCAUAUGGAAUUUUGAUGGAAAGAUCGCAUUUGAAGACAUCCUCAGUGCAACAGAAAAUUUUAAUGAGAAAUUUUGCAUCGGUGUUGGAGGAUACGGAUCGGUCUUCAGAGUUCAGCUUGUAGGAGGAAUUAUCUUUGCCGUCAAGCUCCUUCACUCAGUGGAAAAAUUCAGUGAUGAGGAGACAUUUCACGCUGAGAUUGAAGUGCUCACAAAAAUCAGGCACCGAAGCAUCGUCAGGCUAUAUGGUUUUUGUUCCCACUCCCAAUGCAAAUUCCUUGUGUACGAUCUUAUUGAGAGGGGAAGCCUAUCAUCUAUUUUGCAUGAGCAAGAGCUAGCAAAGGAGCUGGAUUGGGCAAAGAGAAUUGUUGUUGUGACGGACAUAGCUCAAGCUCUCUCCUACUUGCACCAUGAUUGAGAUGAUCCAAUCGUGCACCGUGACAUAAAAAGCAGCAAUAUUCUUCUGGACCUCAAUUACAAAGCUUAUGUCUCAGACUUUGGCAUGGCGAGGAAGUUGGAGCACAGUUGCUCAAGCUGGAUCACUAUCUUUGCAGGGACAUAUGGCUACAUAGCACCAGAAUUGUCAUCUACCAAUGUGUUGACUGAGAAAUGUGACGUGUACAGCUUCGGCGUGGUUGCACUCGAAGUAUUGAUGGGAAAGCACCCAGGUGAUCUGCUCCUUCCAUUCUUUGGCCAAACAGAGCAGCCGGCAAAGCUCAAGGACAUCCUGGAUCGACGGAUCAUAGCACCGUCGACUGUCGAUGAGGAGAAAAAUGUCAUCCUGGUUGCUUUGAUGGCCUUUGCUUGUCUGCAAGUCUCUCCAAAAGCCCGGCCAACAAUGCAGCAGGUAUACCAGGCCCUCACAAGUAGAAGCCAUCCAGAGCUCAUGCUUAGGCCCCUUCAUGAAAUCAGGCUGCAAGAUUUGCAUGAUUUUUGUGGCACCAUAAAAAAUAUAUGAAGCUAUAUAGGUAGCCUCCUGUGCUGCCAAUUAUAUAUUUGGCCCAUGAGUUUGUAUUUGUGUGUAGAUUUUGAGGACAAAACGAUGGAUACCAAGGAAAUAGUUACUUGUAAUUUCAAUAUCAAAUAUCACAAGGAUCGUGAAAACUCUUGGAUGAAAACAAAUCUUGUUCUUUUCAUUCAAUUGAAGUGCACAAAAAUGACCCUUCUUCCCCAGAUA
Molecule: RNA transcript, 2570 nt
Organism: Triticum aestivum (bread wheat)
Lineage: Eukaryota; Viridiplantae; Streptophyta; Magnoliopsida; Poales; Poaceae
Gene name: probable leucine-rich repeat receptor-like protein kinase At1g35710
Exons: 3
Source: RefSeq, a predicted model, not a curated record